Molecule: ribosomal RNA, 222 nt
Filed under: uncultured bacterium
Lineage: Bacteria
Description: partial 16S ribosomal RNA
Rfam family: Bacterial small subunit ribosomal RNA
Source: RNAcentral
UAAAUGUCUGGGAAACGGCCUGAUGGAGGGGGGUAACUACUGGAAACGGUAGCUAAUACCGCAUAACGUCGCAAGACCAAAGUGGGGGACCGUUCGGGCCUCAUGCCAUCAGAUGUGCCCAGAUGGGAUUAGCUAGUAGGUGGGGUAAUGGCUCACCUAGGCGACGAUCCCUAGCUGGUCUGAGAGGAUGACCAGCCACACUGGAACUGAGACACGGUCCAG